Molecule: long non-coding RNA, 297 nt
Filed under: Marmota monax (woodchuck)
Lineage: Eukaryota; Metazoa; Chordata; Mammalia; Rodentia; Sciuridae
Source: RNAcentral
UUCUGUGCUGCAGAAAAUCCGCUGUUUAGGAUCCUACUACACUCUUGGAGAAGCUUCAGUUUGUCAAUGGGAGCCCACAUGGGGAAGCUGUCUGAUCACUCCCUGGGAUUCACGCACAGAGCAGCCAGGAACAGGUUCUCCUCUACUCUGCCAUCUGGAUCCAGCCUUGUAAAUGGAAUAUCAUUAUUUUUUUUUUCUGGUAGAUGAUUAUUAAGGACAAGGAAAUGCAUCUGAUUUUCUCAGGUGGGUUUUGUCUCCUGAACUUUAACUGAGCUUGUUAAUUAGUUCUAACAGUUU